CCUACGGGAGGCAGCAGUGAGGAAUAUUGGUCAAUGGGCGGGAGCCUGAACCAGCCAAGUCGCGUGAGGGAAGACGGUCCUAUGGAUUGUAAACCUCUUUAGGCGGGGAGCAAUGCCGCGCACGCGUGCCCGGAGGGAGAGUACCCGCAGUAUAAGCAUCGGCUAACUCCGUGCCAGCAGGCGAGGUAAUACGGAGGAUGCGAGCGUUCUCCGGAUUUAGUGGGUUUAAAGGGUGCGUAGGCGGAUUUUUAAGUCAGCGGUAAAAUGUCCGGGCUCAAACCGGGCCGGCCGUGGAUACUGGGGAGCUUGAGUGGGCGAGAAGUAUGCGGAAUGCAUGGUGUAGCGGUGAAAUGCAUAGAUAUCACGCAGAACUCCGAUUGCGAAGGCAGCAUACCGGCGCCCAACUGACGCUGAAGCACGAAAGCGUGGGUAUCGAACAGGAUUAGAUACCCUAGUAGUC
RNAcentral lists this ribosomal RNA (460 nucleotides) under uncultured bacterium. RNAcentral's name for it is "partial 16S ribosomal RNA". It matches the Rfam family "Bacterial small subunit ribosomal RNA", at positions 338 to 795 of the family's 1533-position model. The record is from RNAcentral.